This 459-nucleotide ribosomal RNA is filed under the name uncultured bacterium. Its description in RNAcentral is "partial 16S ribosomal RNA". It matches the Rfam family "Bacterial small subunit ribosomal RNA", at positions 338 to 795 of the family's 1533-position model. The record is from RNAcentral.
CCUACGGGGGUCAGCAGUGAGGAAUAUUGGUCAAUGGUCGGGAGACUGAACCAGCCAAGCCGCGUGAGGGAUGAAGGUACAGAGUAUCGUAAACCUCUUUUGUCAGGGAACAAAGGCGGGGACGCGUCCCCGGAGGAGUGUACCUGAAGAAAAAGCAUCGGCUAACUCCGUGCCAGCAGCCGCGGUAAUACGGAUGAUGCGAGCGUUAUCCGGAUUUAUUGGGUUAAAAGGGUGCGCAGGCGGCCUGUUAAGUCAGCGGUCAAAGCCCGGGGCUCAACCCCGGCCCGCCGUUGAAACUGGCAGUCUCGAGUUGGAGAGAAGUAUGCGGAAUGCGCGGUGUAGCGGUGAAAUGCAUAGAUAUCGCGCAGAACUCCGAUUGCGAAGGCAGCAUGCCGGCUCCACACUGACGCUGAGGCACGAAAGCGUGGGUAUCGAACAGGAUUAGAUACCCUGGUAGUC